AUAAAGAUAGAAAACUUUGUACUGCAAAAUAUUUAUGUGCCAGAAAAAUAUUGUCUGCGCCAUUUUAUCUUUUUUAAAUAAAUUGUUAUGAGAAGCGAAAACAACAACAACAACAAGCCGGUCGGCGUGAGUGUAGGACAUUUGAAGAGCAUCGGGAGCCGGAAGGCGUUCCACAGCCCAACAACAACAACAACCGAAAAAUUUCAUCUAGAAGAUUUAACCUUCACCCGUCUUUUGCCUACAUUUUUUAUUAUUUUAUUCGCUUCAUACGCACAUUCUUCUUCUUUUUACUCUCUUCAUUCAUUUUCCCUUUUUAUAUUCGCCUGAAAUGCCCAGUUGGUGAAGGUCACCUUCUUCUAUUUAGUGGCGGACUCGUCGCACUUCUGAUCCACUUGUUGCAUUUUUAUUUAAUACACCCGCAGGUUAUUUUACUCUGA
Molecule: long non-coding RNA, 437 nt
Filed under: Daphnia pulicaria
Lineage: Eukaryota; Metazoa; Arthropoda; Branchiopoda; Diplostraca; Daphniidae
Description: uncharacterized LOC124312362, transcript variant X1
Source: RNAcentral